GUCCCGGCCGGCGCGGCUGGCCGGGGCGCUACGCGCCUACUGGGCGUGGCGGGACACCGACGCGUUCGACAUGUACUGGUUCGGCACCGACCUCGGGGUG
RNAcentral lists this transfer RNA (100 nucleotides) under Phytohabitans rumicis. RNAcentral describes it as "tRNA-Ser". Lineage: Bacteria; Bacillati; Actinomycetota; Actinomycetes; Micromonosporales; Micromonosporaceae. The record is from RNAcentral.